This 253-nucleotide ribosomal RNA is filed under the name uncultured bacterium. Its description in RNAcentral is "partial 16S ribosomal RNA". It matches the Rfam family "Bacterial small subunit ribosomal RNA", at positions 524 to 776 of the family's 1533-position model. The record is from RNAcentral.
UACGGAGGGUGCAAGCGUUAUCCGGAAUCAUUGGGUUUAAAGGGUUCGUAGGCGGGUUAAUAAGUCAGAGGUGAAAUCUGGUCGCUCAACGAUCAAAUUGCCUUUGAUACUGUUAGUCUUGAGUUAUAUUGAAGUAGAUAGAAUAUGUAGUGUAGCGGUGAAAUGCAUAGAUAUUACAUAGAAUACCGAUUGCGAAGGCAGUCUACUAAGUAUAUACUGACGCUGAUGAACGAAAGCGUGGUUAGCGAACGGG